AAAACGACUGCAAGGCCCUAGCUUACGUGUGUUGUGACAUGCCUGCUUACCAAGCCAGCAAGCUGCUGGCUUAGAGAUAGGCUGGCAGCCAUUCAUACCUGUCAACCAAAUCAGUACGCAGUGGAUACAACCUUUCUCACCAUCAGGAAAAACAAGAACGAAAAACACUUGAACAUCACUGUUUUCCAGAAAGUAGGGUGUGACCUCUUUUCGGCAGAUGGGGUGAAAACACACGAGUGGACCAGCAGCUCCCUCCACAAAUAAAGAGUCUGGGAAUGCAGGGCCACUCGUGGGCAGCAGCUUCUUGUCCAGUCGUCACCAAUAAAGAGAAUCCCCACCAUGGUCCUAGUGCCAAGGUGGCCACUGAGUGCAACAGGUGGAAGAAAACGGAAUCGUGAAUGAGAAAACGUGUUCUACUCCCAACUGCUACCUUUCAACCCCAGGCAGUGCUGACAUGAAAAAUGGCAUAUAAUGAGCUCUUCUACAGAGCAGGUAAAUAAGCAGCGAUCAAGACUGCUCACGUAAAAAAAUAAAAAUCCUUCCUUUUCAAUUCCAAUAAAACAAAACUCAACU
Molecule: non-coding RNA, 573 nt
Filed under: Pongo abelii (Sumatran orangutan)
Lineage: Eukaryota; Metazoa; Chordata; Mammalia; Primates; Hominidae
Source: RNAcentral